This 1385-nucleotide ribosomal RNA is filed under the name uncultured bacterium. Its description in RNAcentral is "bacterial SSU rRNA". It matches the Rfam family "Bacterial small subunit ribosomal RNA", at positions 29 to 1405 of the family's 1533-position model. The record is from RNAcentral.
UUGAACGCUGGCGGUAUGCUUAACACAUGCAAGUCGAACGGAAACGAUACUAGCUUGCUAGUAGGCGUCGAGUGGCGGACGGGUGAGUAACGCGUAGGAAUCUGCCUGAUAGUGGGGGAUAGCCCGAAGAAAUUCGGAUUAAUACCGCAUAAUCUAUUCGUAGUAAAGUGGGGGACUUUCGAGCCUCACGCUAUCAGAUGAGCCUGCGUAAGAUUAGCUAGUUGGUAGGGUAAAAGCCUACCAAGGCUACGAUCUUUAGCUGGUCUGAGAGGAUGAUCAGCCACAUCGGGACUGAGACACGGCCCGAACUCCUACGGGAGGCAGCAGUGGGGAAUAUUGGACAAUGGGGGCAACCCUGAUCCAGCAAUACCGCGUGUGUGAAGAAGGCCUGAGGGUUGUAAAGCACUUUCAAUUGUGAAGAAAAGUUAACGGUUAAUAACCGUUAGCCUUGACGUUAACUUUAGAAGAAGCACCGGCUAACUCCGUGCCAGCAGCCGCGGUAAUACGGAGGGUGCAAGCGUUAAUCGGAAUUACUGGGCGUAAAGCGUGCGUAGGCGGUUUAUUAAGUCAGAUGUGAAAGCCCCGGGCUUAACCUGGGAACUGCAUUUGAAACUGGUCAACUAGAGUAUGGUAGAGGAAAGUGGAAUUUCUGGUGUAGCGGUGAAAUGCGUAGAUAUCAGAAGGAACAUCAAUGGCGAAGGCAGCUUUCUGGACCAAUACUGACGCUGAGGUACGAAAGCGUGGGUAGCAAACAGGAUUAGAUACCCUGGUAGUCCACGCCGUAAACGAUGAUAACUAGCCGUUGGGGGGAUUUACCCUUUAGUGGCGAAGCUAACGCGUUAAGUUAUCCGCCUGGGGAGUACGGCCGCAAGGUUAAAACUCAAAGGAAUUGACGGGGACCCGCACAAGCGGUGGAGCAUGUGGUUUAAUUCGAUGCAACGCGAAGAACCUUACCUGGUCUUGACAUCCUGCGAACUUUCUAGAAAUAGAUUGGUGCCUUCGGGAACGCAGUGACAGGUGCUGCAUGGCUGUCGUCAGCUCGUGUCGUGAGAUGUUGGGUUAAGUCCCGUAACGAGCGCAACCCCUAUCCUUAUUUGCCAGCACGUCAUGGUGGGAACUAUAAGGAGACUGCCGGUGAUAAACCGGAGGAAGGCGGGGACGACGUCAAGUCAUCAUGGCCCUUACGACCAGGGCUACACACGUGCUACAAUGGGAAGGACAAAGAGCCGCGAAGCCGCGAGGUGUAGCUAAUCUCAGAAACCUUUUCGUAGUCCGGAUUGGAGUCUGCAACUCGACUCCAUGAAGUCGGAAUCGCUAGUAAUCGUAGAUCAGAAUGCUACGGUGAAUACGUUCCCGGGUCUUGCACUCACCGCCCGUCAAGGGCG